CUACACUAUAUUUACAGUAUAACCGAAUUUGUACGUUAAUAAAAUAUAAACACAAUACGCUGUUCUAAAAUAAUUGUCAAAAUAGAGAUCAUGUUUUAAUGUUUAAUAUUUACGCGCUCUUAUAUUGGAAUUGGAGUCGAUACAAAAAGUUACAAAUUUCUAGUUAAAUACUCUUUCAGGCAAAUGGCACACCUUUUAGAAAUUAAAUUCCCCUGUCCUGUUCCUCUGCUGGUUAGUUAAAAUAUUCCCCCUUAUGUUAUUUCACCAGGAAACAUUUUUUUAAAAUACAUUUUCAUCUAAUUUUGCUAUCAGGUCAUCUGUUGACAGCGAAUGUCAGAAUGACAUUUUCACGAAUUUCAACUGCCAAAACAAAGUUCUUGAUCGAGCUCUACAAAAAUCACGUGCGCAUGCGCAGAUUCAUUUUCUCCUUUCUGGGACGUAAACAGGAAGGUCAGCAAGACUGGAAGACAAAAGAAGCCAUUAAGAAAAUGAAAAUGAGAUACUUUACCAUCAUAUCUGUAGCAGUGUUCUUAACUUCAGAAACUGUCCAAGCAGCAAGUAUCACUCCGUCUUGCUUGAAAUACCAUAAGAAUAAAGAAUGUCAUCGGGUUUAUAAACCUGUUUGUGGAGAUGAUGAGACCACCUACUCCAAUGAAUGCAUGCUGUGUCUGUUAAAUGGAGAAAGAGUGAGAAUUGUCAAGGAAGGAGCUUGCUAAAACAACCUGAAAGAUGUUCUGCGGCAGUGUCCUGAGAAAAGUUUAUAUAUUACAAGACCUCUAUUAAUCAGAAAUGCAAUAGGAUACAGGUUGUAGUUACCAGUUCACUGUCAAUGUUAUAGUCUUAAUAUAUUGCAUUGUUAAUAUAAUUAUUUAUGAUAUAGGCUUCCGUUUUAUUAACAAACCGACCUGUAUUUGUUUUGAAUAAAACCUGUUUAAAAGGGAAAUGCUAUACAGAAGUUGUAGUGUACUCUGUUUACAGUUUUACUUGGAAGUUAAUUAAUUGAAUUCAAUAAAAGAGAAACCCCAGUAAAGAGACAUUCAGAGUCAUUGACGCACCCAGUGGUCCCUACUUGACCAUCUCAGACUUACAGACUGGUCUACAUCCUAUACAUAUACUAAUGCAAAAUAUGUUUACCCUACUUCAGUUAACUGGGGACCAGUGUGCUCUCAUCCUUCCAACCUGCUAUGUUUUGUAACCUGCAUCAAUUUUGCCCUUAUAAAAGUUUCCCAUAGCAAAAGCAUAGCAAAGUUUAAUAAUGCACAGUGAAAGCACGGUGAAGAAUCGGUAAGCAUUCUAAAGAACAGUGGGGUAUAAUAAAGCAUAUUAAUAAACAUGGAAAAUCAGGGUGGUAAAUGUAUAGCAUAACCAUGGGAAAACUGCAAAAAUAACAUGCAAAAACAGCAAAAAAAACUUUAUAAGGGUGGCUUCCUCAUAUCUGUAUCAUUUGCACCAUUUCACAAAUAUAAAAGUAGAAUAUAAAUGCCAUGAUAACUGAUUUACAAUAUGCUCACCUAACAUUUUGCAGUAUUUACUUGCAUUUUUCUUGAUUUAUGAAAGGAUUUGUCAGCAAACAUAACAAAUCUGUUGGUGUAAAGUACAUUUGUUUAUAAUUCUGUAUACAAAACCUUGCACUGGAAACCAAAUAUAACGCAGCAUAUUUAGAAUUUAUAUACUAAACACUUUAUGCUUAUUUGGGUAAAUAAUUUUUUUUGUCUUCAAAUUAUUAUUGUUUUUAACGCAUUUAGGUUUAAUUCUUAAACAGUCAUACUGUGUGCAAACAGAUUUUACAGCCACAUCCACCCACUUAUUUAGUUUGGCAAUACUGUACUUGUUUCAGAAGUGCUAGACACAAAUAGCAGAGCGAACUAUCAAAAUGAAUCCAAGUUUUGUCCUUGUUUUUCUGAUCUUCAUUUGUUUCUCUGACUCAGAAGCAAAACCUUACAGAACUCCUGCCUGUUACAAAUACCCACUCGAGGGAUGCCCUUUCAUUUUCUCACCAGUUUGUGGCACAGAUGGCAACAGCUAUGCAAAUGAAUGUGUUCUGUGCCACACAAUAAGAAAAACCAAGAUGAUGAUCCAGAUUGUCAAAACCAGACAGUGCUGAGCAAGUUUCCCUUCAACCCAGUUAUGCUUCUCAUCUUACUGAUGUGCACAAACAAGAUUGCUGGACAGACACUAGAGGAAAUUUUUACUUCUCAAUAAUACAACUGUUUUAUUUCCUGUUUUGACAAUGUAAUGUGAGAGCUUUUCUUUGUAUUUAGCAGUCAGGUACCACAUUCUUGAUUUUGAGAUAAAAGGCCAUCUUUUUAGGGUUGUUUUAAGGAAUUGUUGUUUUGAAGUAAUGCACUUAAACAGUUUCUUAAGUUAAACAGUUCUUUGAAAAAUGAGAAUGAACUUCUAAACCUGUCUAAAAAAGUUAGGAUGUUUCUUUAACUGUUAACUUGAUUUAAUUAAUUAAAAAUA
Molecule: RNA transcript, 2463 nt
Organism: Acipenser ruthenus (sterlet)
Lineage: Eukaryota; Metazoa; Chordata; Actinopteri; Acipenseriformes; Acipenseridae
Gene name: trypsin inhibitor ClTI-1-like
Exons: 8
Source: RefSeq, a predicted model, not a curated record